RNAcentral lists this long non-coding RNA (1120 nucleotides) under Marmota monax (woodchuck). Lineage: Eukaryota; Metazoa; Chordata; Mammalia; Rodentia; Sciuridae. The record is from RNAcentral.
UGCCAUAUCAGAGGAAGAAACAGAAGCCAGUGCUGGUAGAAAUCCAAUAUCUCCUUCCUCCAAAAAAAAAGAAGUCUCCCUAGAACAAUAACCCUAGAGCAGAACAUUAAAGACUGAAUUGGGGAAAGAGUUUGGAAAGUAGGAAAUGAAGAUUGUUCCAGGCAUAGGAACCAUGGAAACAAAGAGUCAAAGACACUUUUGGAAAAAAUUAGCAUGGUGGAUAGGAACAUGGGGCCUUUACGCUUGACCUUGACCUUAGCUAAGAGGCUAGACUUGAGGUUUUCAGAAUCAGGCCUUCAAAUCCCAGUGUUGCCUUUGCAGAUAAGUGACCUUGGAUGAGUGUCUUACAGACUCUGAAUCUUAAUUUCCUCCCUGUAGAAUGAGAAUGAUAAUAAUAGUACCUACCCCAGACACUGUUGUGAGGUUCAACAUGUCAAACUCUAAGCAUAGUGUGGAAUGCAAGCAUGCAAUAAAAUCACAAACACACAGUAAACAUCUGCUUUUGACGAUGUUAUCUGACUUUGCCGUUCUCCAUGGUCCUCAAACUGAUAAUUUCUGCUUUGGUCUGAGUGCGUCUUUGGGCUGUUGACCACAGCAGGAACUACCUACAUGUCACAGGAUAGGCAGAACUAAAUAGACUCAAGCAUUACCUGUCACUGUCUAACAAGUAUCUCACAGCCAUGCAAAUGAUCCUUCAAGUGUAUAGGAAAGCCUCAUGAUGAACAAAACCAGAAGCAUCCUUCAAUGUAGUGUAACCUUAUGUCAAUAAACUUAUUCUCAAACAACAUAUACUCAAAGGAUAACUAUAGUCAUUUGAGGUUUUGUGGAAUUUUUUGAAUAUUAAAGAAGGUCCAAGUUGAGGGAUCUUCUACAAAGUAACUGGCUAAUACUUUCCAAAAGUGUCAAGGUCUUGAAUGAUGAAUGAAGGAGCAACUACUCUAGAUUGGAGGAGCAUAAGGAGGGAUGAUACAAUGUGUUAUCAUGUGUUCUCUGGAUGGGAUUCUAGACCAGAUAAAAGACCUAUGAGAUAAGGUGUGUAGAUUGGUUAGAAGUCUUAUAUCAAGGUUAAACUCCUGGUUUUGGUUAUUGUAUUAUGGUUAUGUAGAAUGUUAACCUUUGG